RNAcentral lists this transfer RNA (72 nucleotides) under Candidatus Pacearchaeota archaeon CG1_02_30_18. RNAcentral describes it as "tRNA-Asp". It matches the Rfam family "tRNA". Rfam says of the family: Transfer RNA (tRNA) molecules are approximately 80 nucleotides in length. Their secondary structure includes four short double-helical elements and three loops (D, anti-codon, and T loops). RNAcentral also lists the same sequence under 6 other names. The record is from RNAcentral. Lineage: Archaea; Nanobdellati.
GCUCACAUGGUCUAACGGUUAUGACACUAGCCUGUCGCGCUGGAAACCCGGGUUCGACUCCCGGUGUGGGCG